GUGCUUACUUCAGCAGCACACAUACUAAAAAAUUGGAAGGAUACAGAGAAGAUUAGCAUGACCCCUGCUCAAGGAUGAAAUACACAUUUUUUGAAAUGUUCCAUAUUUUU
Molecule: small nuclear RNA, 110 nt
Organism: Suncus etruscus (white-toothed pygmy shrew)
Lineage: Eukaryota; Metazoa; Chordata; Mammalia; Eulipotyphla; Soricidae
Source: RefSeq, a predicted model, not a curated record